RNAcentral lists this ribosomal RNA (1012 nucleotides) under uncultured bacterium. RNAcentral's name for it is "bacterial SSU rRNA". It matches the Rfam family "Bacterial small subunit ribosomal RNA", at positions 339 to 1378 of the family's 1533-position model. The record is from RNAcentral.
CUACGGGAGGCAGCAGUGAGGAUCUGCGCAUGAGCGAAGCUGAGCAGCACGCCGCGUGGAGAUGACGCUUCGGGUGUAAACUCCUUUCAGCAGGAACGAAGAUGACGGUACCUGCAGAAGAAGCUCCGGCCAACUACGUGCCAGCAGCCGCGGUAAGACGUAGGGAGCGAGCGUUGUCCGGAUUCAUUGGGCGUAAAGGGUCCGUAGGCGGCUCAGCAAGUCAGGUGUGAAAUCUCCAGGCUCAACCUGGAGGGGCCACCUGAUACUGCUGUGGCUUGAGUCCAGUAGGGGAGCAUGGAAUUCCCGGUGUAGCGGUGAAAUGCGCAGAUAUCGGGAGGAACACCAGUGGCGAAGGCGGUGCUCUGGGCUGGAACUGACGCUGAUGGACGAAAGCGUGGGUAGCAAACAGGAUUAGAUACCCUGGUAGUCCACGCCGUAAACGUUGGGCACUAGGUGUGGGGUCUUAUCGACGGAUUCCGUGCCGUAGCUAACGCAUUAAGUGCCCCGCCUGGGGAGUACGGCCGCAAGGCUAAAACUCAAAGGAAUUGACGGGGGCCCGCACAAGCGGCGGAGCAUGUUGCUUAAUUCGAGGCAACGCGAAGAACCUUACCUGGGCUUGACAUGCAGGGAAAAGCCGUAGAGAUACGGUGUCCUUCGGGGCCCUGCACAGGUGGUGCAUGGUUGUCGUCAGCUCGUGUCGUGAGAUGUUGGGUUAAGUCCCGCAACGAGCGCAACCCUUUUCCUAUGUUGCCAGCGGGUAAUGCCGGGGACUCGUAGGAGACUGCCGGGGUCAACUCGGAGGAAGGUGGGGAUGAAGUCAAAUCAUCAUGCCCCUUACGUCCAGGGCUGCGAACAUGCUACAAUGGCCGGUACAAAGGGCUGCUAUUCCGUGAGGAUGAGCGAAUCCCAAAAAGCCGGUCUCAGUUCGGAUCGAAGUCUGCAACUCGACUUCGUGAAGUCGGAGUCGCUAGUAAUCCCGGAUCAGCAACGCCGCGGUGAAUACGUUCCCGGG